Molecule: microRNA, 22 nt
Filed under: Melibe leonina
Lineage: Eukaryota; Metazoa; Mollusca; Gastropoda; Nudibranchia; Dendronotidae
Description: mle-miR-1993-5p
Source: miRBase by way of RNAcentral
UCGGGAAUAUCGGCAUAAUGCA